AGUGAAGUUAGAUAAUUGCCUCAAAAUCUUUUUGGCAAUCACCCCUGGGAAAAAGGCUUUUCACACUGUGUGAACUCUGAGAUAGGUCAACUAAAAACAGCCUUGCAAGUGAAACCUUCCAGGGAACCACCAGACUGAAAGACUGAGAAGAUGUAGAGGGGCCAGAGCAAAUUCUCAGUGGAACUCACUGCCUUUGAAAGAAACUACAUGGAAUGGAGGCACCAACUGAAGUUUGCACCAGAGUGAAUGCCUUUGAUGACUCUCACCCUAUUUAAGAUUAGCAAGAAGAAAAAGAUACCCAAUCUUGCAGUGAUUUGAAGGGAAAAAAAAGAUUUCACAGUCUUUUGAAGUGUUUCAAGGUCUUUACAA
Choloepus didactylus (southern two-toed sloth) is the source of this 369-nucleotide long non-coding RNA. RefSeq lists it as uncharacterized. The transcript is spliced from 3 exons. NCBI's taxonomy places the organism in Eukaryota, Metazoa, Chordata, Mammalia, Pilosa, Megalonychidae. The record is from RefSeq and is a predicted model, not a curated record.